AAUUUUGGACAAUGGGCGCAAGCCUGAUCCAGCCAUGCCGCGUGAGUGAAGAAGGCCUUCUGGUUGUAAAGCUCUUUCGUUCGGAAAGAAAUCGCACCGGCUAAUACCCUGCCGGGAUGACCGUACCGCAAUGAGAAGCACCCGCUAACUACGUGCCAGCGACCCCGGUAAUCCGUAGGGUGCGAGCGUUAAUCGGAAUUACUGGGCGUAAAGCGUGCGCAGGCGGGUGAUUAAGACAGGCGUGAAAUCCCCGGGCUUAACCUGGGAACUGCGCUUGUGACUGGUCAGCUGGGGUACGGCAGAGGGGGGUGGAAUUCCACGUGUAGCAGUGAAAUGCGUAGAGAUGUGGAGGAACACCGAUGGCGAGGCAGCCCCCUGGGCCGAUACUGACGCUCAUGCACGAAAGCGUGGGUAGCAAACAGG
Molecule: ribosomal RNA, 423 nt
Filed under: uncultured bacterium
Lineage: Bacteria
Description: partial 16S ribosomal RNA
Rfam family: Bacterial small subunit ribosomal RNA
Source: RNAcentral